This 505-nucleotide small RNA is filed under the name Pan troglodytes (chimpanzee). RNAcentral's name for it is "processed transcript". The record is from RNAcentral. Lineage: Eukaryota; Metazoa; Chordata; Mammalia; Primates; Hominidae.
AGGAGAGCGGAAGUGGCGUUGGUCUGGCCGGAGCCCUUGGGUGAAAUUGUUAGGCGUGGAGAGGGAGUGAUGUCUUCCAGACUCGGUGCUGUACCCGCCUAGCAGGACCCAGUGCUCUAUAAAGGAUAAUAGUUUCCAGUACACUAUCCCUCAUGAUGACUCCUUAAGUGGUUCAUCGUCUGCAUCUUCGUGUGAACCAGUGAGUGAUUUUCCAGCAUCUUUCCGAAAAUCUACCUACUGGAUGAAGAUGAGAAGAAUCAAGCCAGCUGCUACUUCGCAUGUCGAAGGGUCAGGUGGAGUAUCAGCCAAGGGGAAAAGGAAACCCAGGCAGGAAGAAGAUGAAGACUAUCGAGAAUUUCCUCAGAAGAAGCAUAAGCUUUAUGGGAGGAAGCAACGGCCUAAAACUCAGCCCAAUCCCAAAUCCCAGGCCCGUCGUAUUCGGAAGGAACCACCAGUUUAUGCAGCAGGCAGUUUGGAGGAGCAAUGGUACUUAGAAAUCGUUGAU